UUUAUGGAGAGUUUGAUCCUGGCUCAGAGUGAACGCUGGCGGCGUGCCUAAUACAUGCAAGUCGAACGAUGAAGCUUCUAGCUUGCUAGAAGUGGAUUAGUGGCGCACGGGUGAGUAAGGUAUAGUUAAUCUGCCCUACACAAGAGGACAACAGUUGGAAACGACUGCUAAUACUCUAUACUCCUGCUUAACACAAGUUGAGUAGGGAAAGUUUUUCGGUGUAGGAUGAGACUAUAUAGUAUCAGCUAGUUGGUAAGGUAAUGGCUUACCAAGGCUAUGACGCUUAACUGGUCUGAGAGGAUGAUCAGUCACACUGGAACUGAGACACGGUCCAGACUCCUACGGGAGGCAGCAGUAGGGAAUAUUGCGCAAUGGGGGAAACCCUGACGCAGCAACGCCGCGUGGAGGAUGACACUUUUCGGAGCGUAAACUCCUUUUCUUAGGGAAGAAUUCUGACGGUACCUAAGGAAUAAGCACCGGCUAACUCCGUGCCAGCA
This 497-nucleotide ribosomal RNA is filed under the name Campylobacter coli. RNAcentral's name for it is "bacterial SSU rRNA". It matches the Rfam family "Bacterial small subunit ribosomal RNA", at positions 1 to 513 of the family's 1533-position model. Lineage: Bacteria; Pseudomonadati; Campylobacterota; Epsilonproteobacteria; Campylobacterales; Campylobacteraceae. The record is from RNAcentral. RNAcentral also lists the same sequence under 1 other name.